CGGUAACAGCUCAAAUUUGAAAUCUGGCCUCACGGUCCGAGUUGUAAUUUGUAGAGGAUGCUUCGAGCAUGGUCUGGCCUAAGUUCCUUGGAACAGGACGUCACAGAGGGUGAGAAUCCCGUACGUGGUC
RNAcentral lists this ribosomal RNA (130 nucleotides) under Pseudogymnoascus sp. Its description in RNAcentral is "partial large subunit ribosomal RNA". It matches the Rfam family "Eukaryotic large subunit ribosomal RNA", at positions 99 to 230 of the family's 3401-position model. Lineage: Eukaryota; Fungi; Ascomycota; Leotiomycetes; Thelebolales; Thelebolaceae. The record is from RNAcentral.